RNAcentral lists this small nucleolar RNA (105 nucleotides) under Agaricus bisporus var. burnettii JB137-S8. Its description in RNAcentral is "Small nucleolar RNA Z13/snr52". It matches the Rfam family "Small nucleolar RNA Z13/snr52". From Rfam's summary of the family: Z13 or snr52 is a member of the C/D class of snoRNA which contain the C (UGAUGA) and D (CUGA) box motifs. Lineage: Eukaryota; Fungi; Basidiomycota; Agaricomycetes; Agaricales; Agaricaceae. The record is from Rfam by way of RNAcentral.
AUUAUUCCAAGGAUGAUACCAAUUCGGAUGUAAAAAAACACAUUUUCCGAGAUGCGCUUUACAAACCUUGUGGAAAUUUCCGUUGCCUUCCUUCUGAUCUUUUUU